GAUGAAGAACGCAGCGAAAUGCGAUAAGUAGUGUGAAUUGCAGAAUUCAGUGAAUCAUCGUAUCUUUGAACGCACAUUGCGCCCCUUGGUAUCCCGAGGGGCAUGCCUGUUCGAGCGUCAUUUCACCACUCAAGCCUGGCUUGGUGUUGGGCGACGUCCUCUUUGGGGACGCGCCUCGAAACGCUCGGCGGCGUGGCACCGGCUUUAAGCGUAGCAGAAUCUUUCGCUUUGGAAGUCGGGGCCCCGUCUGCCGGAAGACCUGCUCGCAAGGUUGACCUCGGAUCAGGCAGGGAUACCCGCUGAACUUAAGCAUAUCAAUAAGCGGAGGA
Molecule: unclassified non-coding RNA, 329 nt
Filed under: soil metagenome
Description: partial contains 5.8S ribosomal RNA, internal transcribed spacer 2, and large subunit ribosomal RNA
Rfam family: 5.8S ribosomal RNA (bases 1-120)
Source: RNAcentral